Molecule: long non-coding RNA, 433 nt
Organism: Anser cygnoides (Swan goose)
Lineage: Eukaryota; Metazoa; Chordata; Aves; Anseriformes; Anatidae
Source: Ensembl
GUGUCUCUGUGUUGCGGUGUGGUGGUGCCCAGGAACUUGAAACUGGGACUCUGCUAUAGCUGAGUCCACAGCCUGAAUGGCUGUAAGAAGCAUGGUACAAAAUGGUCCACCACUAUUGCAGGAACAUUCAUAUCAGCAUGAAGUUGUAACCCUGAAAAGGAAAAUCAGAAUACUUAUAUGGCAAUUGUUUGACUUCUCGUUAACAGGAGGAAUUAAAGAGGUACUGCACACAGUAUGUUCUUCAAAGACUACUUCCACCUUUUUGAAGAGGAUCUUGGCAGCGGAAUAUAUUCAUAUGAUUAAAUGGUACCGACAGAGAUGGAUAGGAACUCUAUGUAUCUGGAGUACCUUUAAAGAUGUUGGUCUGGAGAGGAAUGAUGACGUAUGUUUCUGGGAAAAACACAUCUGGGCAUUUACCUUGCUGCAUCUGUGA